Molecule: ribosomal RNA, 253 nt
Filed under: uncultured bacterium
Lineage: Bacteria
Description: partial 16S ribosomal RNA
Rfam family: Bacterial small subunit ribosomal RNA
Source: RNAcentral
UACGGGGGGGGCAAGCGUUGUUCGGAAUUACUGGGCGUAAAGGGCUCGUAGGUGGCCAACUAAGUCAGACGUGAAAUCCCUCGGCUUAACCGGGGAACUGCGUCUGAUACUGGAUGGCUUGAGUUCGGGAGAGGGAUGCGGAAUGCCAGGUGUAGCGGUGAAAUGCGUAGAUAUCUGGAGGAACACCGGUGGCGAAGGCGGCAUCCUGGACCGAUACUGACGCUGAGGAGCGAAAGCCAGGGGAGCAAACGGG